UGCCAGCAGCCGCGGUAAGACAGAGGGUGCAAGCGUUAAUCGGAAUUACUGGGCGUAAAGCGCGCGUAGGUGGACAAAUAAGUCAGUUGUGAAAUUUUUAGGCUCAACCUGAAAACGCCAAUUGAUACUGUUUGUCUAGAGUGCAGUAGAGGGGGAAGGAAUUUCCGGUGUAGCGGUGAAAUGCGUAGAUAUCGGAAGGAACACCAGUGGCGAAGGCGUUCCCCUGGACUGUAACUGACACUGAGGUGCGAAAGCGUGGGUAGCGAACAGGAUUAGAUA
Molecule: ribosomal RNA, 279 nt
Filed under: uncultured bacterium
Lineage: Bacteria
Description: partial 16S ribosomal RNA
Rfam family: Bacterial small subunit ribosomal RNA
Source: RNAcentral